RNAcentral lists this ribosomal RNA (372 nucleotides) under uncultured organism. Its description in RNAcentral is "bacterial SSU rRNA". It matches the Rfam family "Bacterial small subunit ribosomal RNA", at positions 526 to 896 of the family's 1533-position model. The record is from RNAcentral.
CGAAGGGUGCAAGCGUUACUCGGAAUCACUGGGCGUAAAGCGUGCGUAGGCGGUUUCUUAAGUCUGUCGUGAAAGCCCUGGGCUCAACCUGGGAACGGCGAUGGAUACUGGGAAGCUAGAAUGUGAGAGAGGAUGGUGGAAUUCCCGGUGUAGCGGUGAAAUGCGUAGAGAUCGGGAGGAACACCAGUGGCGAAGGCGGCCAUCUGGCUCAACAUUGACGCUGAGGCACGAAAGCGUGGGGAGCAAACAGGAUUAGAUACCCUGGUAGUCCACGCCCUAAACGAUGCGAACUGGACGUUGGUGGCAACUUGGCCAUCAGUGUCGAAGCUAACGCGUUAAGUUCGCCGCCUGGGGAGUACGGUCGCAAGACUG